GCAGAAGUACCCAAGUGGCCGAAGGGGCUCCCCUGCUAAGGGAGUAGGCGGCUUAAAAACCCGCGCGAGGGUUCGACUCCCUCCUUCUGCGCCA
This 94-nucleotide transfer RNA is filed under the name Bacillota bacterium. RNAcentral describes it as "tRNA-Ser". It matches the Rfam family "tRNA". From Rfam's summary of the family: Transfer RNA (tRNA) molecules are approximately 80 nucleotides in length. Their secondary structure includes four short double-helical elements and three loops (D, anti-codon, and T loops). Lineage: Bacteria; Bacillati; Bacillota. The record is from RNAcentral. RNAcentral also lists the same sequence under 4 other names.